CUCCAGUCUCCACUGAUCAUUUCAUCAUCGUCAUCGGAGGGCAAGAGAGAGACGACCAGAAGAAGCAGCAGCGUCAAUGGCGAAGCCACUGGGAACUACCGGGGAGUUUUUCAGGCGACGCGACGAGUGGCGGAAGCAUCCGAUGCUGACCAAUCAGUGGCGCCACGCCACACCUGGCCUCGGGAUCGCACUCGUGGCCUUCGGAAUCUACCUCGUCGGUGAGACUGCCUACAACAAGAUCUAUGCCCCCAAGUCUCAUUCCCACAGUCACUCCAUCUCUUCUGCUUCUCACUGAACCUCGGCCCUGGGUAUCUAAACUUCACCUCAAAGUUCAGAGCAGAUGACAAAACUGGGAUUUCCCCUUGGCCAAGAUGAACAUCUGGUGUCAAAGAAUGAAGAGGAUCAUGUUUCUCACUUUACAGCUCCAUUUCUGCGAGUGAUUAAAUAAAGCAUUCCCUGGACUUGUUUGUUGACUCCAAUCAACUACAACUUUGAAUUUGUAUCCAAGAUAAGAAAGACAGUUUUUUCAAUGGCUUAUCUCUUAUAUCUCA
This is an RNA transcript of Sesamum indicum (sesame), 551 nucleotides long. It is a transcript of the gene named NADH dehydrogenase [ubiquinone] 1 beta subcomplex subunit 3-B, with no coding region annotated. The record is from RefSeq and is a predicted model, not a curated record. Lineage: Eukaryota; Viridiplantae; Streptophyta; Magnoliopsida; Lamiales; Pedaliaceae.